Molecule: long non-coding RNA, 1705 nt
Organism: Gasterosteus aculeatus aculeatus (three-spined stickleback)
Lineage: Eukaryota; Metazoa; Chordata; Actinopteri; Perciformes; Gasterosteidae
Source: Ensembl
CACUUUAGAGCUGAAGACGUCAAUUAUUUGUUUCUGCUUUCAAAGAGAAACGAAAUGAUCCUUCUAGAGCGUAAAGCUGCUUUACAGGUUGGUAACAGCUGGUCUGUUUCCAGAUGCUUUACUGUGACGGCUCUACUAGGAUACGUUGUUCAUGAGAUUAUUUUCAUUAUAUUCACGUAAAAGCAGGAUUGUACUGUUGUUAAAGUGGAGCUGGCUGAAUUAUUCACCAAUGGUUAUUUUGACGAUGGAUUAAUCUGCUGAUUGGAUUUGUUCUUCCGUCCGUUAUGGGAUCCUGUGCUUUUCCACUACGACUCAUCUUUUUAUCAUCAGCUCCGUUUGGUCUCAGACUCGUCCUGUUCUUCCACUGUGAUCAAACAUCUUCUGUGAAGCCCUGGAGGCUCUCCUGCGCCCUCUAGAGGGCUCCCGGUCUCCGUGAGGGCCUCCCCCCCCCCCCCCUCCCCCUGAUGGGGGGCUCCGGUGCCGCUGUGAGGCUGCAUGAGUCCAGGAGCUCUCAGGACUCCGAGGAGCUGGACGGACCCCCCGCCUCUAAACCCACAAGGUCUCGUCUGGGCAGAGAUGUGCACGGGUUGUAUCCAGGACAGCUGGCCAGGGUCCACACCGCCCCCCCACAGGAUUGUGGGACACUGUGCAGCAGAAGGUCUGGACUCCUCAGCGAGUCUCCUCCGGGGGAAAACUACCAGCGGAGCUUUGACCUUUGCACCCUGAGAGCGGUGACCCCCCUCCGCCUCCGUCCAGCCGCGCCGGAGCAGCGCCCCCCACAGAGCACCUACCGAGAGCAGUUUCAGUCUCCUCUGUUUCCGCAGUAGAAAACAACGUCCAACAAUGAAAAAGUCAUGAGUUUAAAACGCAAAAUGCAGAAAGGACAACUUGCAAAUAAUUGAUUGUAUGAAUGUGUGAAACUAAAAGACUGGGCGGGGCAUUGGUUGUGGAAUGUAAGGUAAUCUGAGUGCCCCCCCCCCCGGCGUGCUUCACGGCCCCUGAGAAACGCGAGUUGUUCCUGCAGAGAAACAAUGCUGUUGUUGUAACAUCGGUAACGUUUGCUCCGUCCGUGAAUGCAAACCGGCCCGACAGCAUAACCCCAAGUUUGUUUUCCUCCACCUUCAUAAUGUCAUAGAUAUUUGUGUUUGUACGCUGUGUGAACCAAAUAAACAAACAACUAAAAGGAACAAACCCUUUCGCAAACAAAAUAAAAAUGAAAGUCUGAGUUUAAAAGCUUGUAUUGAUCUGAAUGAAUGAGAUGAUUUAAAGCUUCUCUGUUUUAAAACACUUGAGCAGAUUAUCAGUGGCACAAAACCACAAUGACUCUUUGGAUUCAGACACAAUAAACUACUGUAGAUCAGCGAGAACUUGUUACGCUGAUGACGUGACUGUUUAUUUAGCAUGGCUUGUACUGUGAUGGGGGGAGUAUUCAGAUAUUUCUCUGCUACAUUAGUCCAUCAGAAGUGAAAGUAUUAGGAUUCAUACAUGUUGUAUCAUCGUAUUAUGAUCAGGUUCAUCAGCCAAACACAUCUUUCAGUUGACUAAAGAUCAGAUGUAGAUGGAUAACCCUUUGCACGCUGUUGCGUUACAUAAGAGCCGCUCCGCCUUUCACCGCUUCAUGAAAAGCCUGCUGAGCUCCGUCAGCUCAACCCUCCACUAGAAUGGGGAUGUUACAUAAUCACGUUUUACCUCUAAUAAACUCGAC